CCUUCCCUUUAGGCACCACUGAACCCCACAGCCCUUCCACCCCCAUGCUCUGUGAGGUGAGAAGUGAGGAGGUGCCUCCACUCAGCAGGUCAAGGCCAGAAUAUUUUGACACUGUGGCGAGAAGAGGGAUUAAUAAUCUCAGUUUAUAGUGGAAAGAGGAGAAGAAAGUCUGGUGCCUUGGCAGGACUUUUCUGGAAGCUCACACCUUUCUGGAAGUG
This 218-nucleotide long non-coding RNA is filed under the name Suricata suricatta (meerkat). RNAcentral's name for it is "lncRNA (ENSSSUG00005018171.1)". Lineage: Eukaryota; Metazoa; Chordata; Mammalia; Carnivora; Herpestidae. The record is from RNAcentral.